Molecule: ribosomal RNA, 402 nt
Filed under: bacterium
Lineage: Bacteria
Description: partial 16S ribosomal RNA
Rfam family: Bacterial small subunit ribosomal RNA
Source: RNAcentral
UGGGGAAUUUUGCACAAUGGGGGAAACCCUGAUGCAGCGACGCCGCGUGAUUUAGAAGGCCUUCGGGUUGUAAAAAUCUUUUUUACGGGAUGAAAAUGACAGUACCGUAAGAAUAAGGUCCGGCUAAAUACGUGCCAGCAGCCGCGGUAAUACGUAUGGACCGAGCGUUGUCCGGAAUCAUUGGGCGUAAAGGGUACGUAGGCGGCCUAGUAAGUUAGAAGUGAAAUAAUAUAGCUCAACUAUAUAAAGCUUUUAAAACUGCUAGGCUUGAGAGAUGGAAGGGAAAGUGGAAUUCCUAGUGUAGCGGUGAAAUGCGCAGAUAUUAGGAAGAAUACCGGUGGCGAAGGCGACUUUCUGGUCAUCAUCUGACGCUGAGGUACGAAAACGUGGGUAGCAAACAGG